RNAcentral lists this long non-coding RNA (527 nucleotides) under Olea europaea subsp. europaea. The record is from RNAcentral. Lineage: Eukaryota; Viridiplantae; Streptophyta; Magnoliopsida; Lamiales; Oleaceae.
CAGCCCUUUUCUAACUUUUCUUAAAAAUGGGAACAAGGUGCUACUGUUAAAUGAACAGUAAACUAAUCCGAAGUUAUUGUGCAAGAGAAGAAAAUGGCGUCAUUUUUUGUACCCUUUUCUUUUUUAUUAUUUUCGGCUGAUAGCAUACCUAAUACCAUACCAUUUCCAUUUUUUUCCCUCCAACGACCAUUCCUAUGCUUUUCUUCUGACUUGAUUUGAUGGAGGCGAAAGAAAACCAUCGAGAAAAUUAAACAAUGACUACGCCACUGUUCUUCAUCCUUUUGCGGUUUGGGUCGACACUCUUUCAUCUGGGUAUGAUUUGGUGCACGUUUUCAUAUUCAUAUGCUCAAAUAUUUUUCUAAUUAUUGCUCUAUAUGAAUAUUAUUUCUUUUGUAGGUUGUUCCAAAUAUUCAAAGUGAGUUUCCGAUUUAUGGAUUUAAUUGGUUUUAUUUGUUAAUUUUUUGUUGUAAUGGUAGUUUUGUGCAUUUAUUAUUGUUACCAGAAGCAUCCAGUGAAGUUUGCUGGGG